AGCAGCCGCGGUAAUUCCAGCUCCAAUAGCGUAUAUUAAAGUUGUUGCAGUUAAAAAGCUCGUAGUUGAAUUUUGGACUUUGCCGCAUGGGUCCGCAUAAUAGCGAGCACUCGUGGUGGCGGGGUCUUCCUUCUGGGUAUCUGGUGUGCUCUUAAGUGGGUGUGCCAGGGAACCAGGACUUUUACUUUGAAAAAAUUAGAGUGUUCAAAGCAGGCGUACGCUUGAAUACAUUAGCAUGGAAUAAUAAAAUAGGAUUUUGGUUCUAUUUUGUUGGUUUCUAGGAUUGACGUAAUGAUUAAUAGGGAUAGUUGGGGGCAUUAGUAUUCAAUUGUCAGAGGUGAAAUUCUUGGAUUUAUUGAAGACUAACUACUGCGAAAGCAUUUGCCAAGGAUGUUUCAUUAAUCAAGAACGAAAGUUAGGGAUCGAAGACGAUCAGAUACCGUCGUAGUCUUAACCAUAAACUAUGCCGACUAGGGAUCGGAUGAUGUUAAUUUAUAAUGACUCAUUCGG
Molecule: ribosomal RNA, 510 nt
Filed under: uncultured Paraglomus
Lineage: Eukaryota; Fungi; Glomeromycota; Glomeromycetes; Paraglomerales; Paraglomeraceae
Description: bacterial SSU rRNA
Rfam family: Eukaryotic small subunit ribosomal RNA
Source: RNAcentral